GGCAGCUAGUAGACCGGCGACGACGACCGCCACCCGAACAAGAAGGGGAGCCACCUUCGGGGUCCCUGGUGUCCCGUGAAGCGAGUUUCAAAGAGAAGAUUAGAGUUGCCAACGUGCAAAGAUGUUGACUUCAGGAAUAACAUGCAGAAGGUUUAUAUGAGUGAGGAGAAGGAGAGGAUCAUGGACAAGCUCAACAGAGACGUGGAGUCUGGAGCAGAAAUCUCCACCGUUCACCCUGAGCAGUACGGCAAGAGGUUCCAUGAGUUCAUUGCUGAGAUCUUUGCGUAGCUCAUCAGAACACAGCUACAGAACCAUAGCUGGCUCAAUAUGAAAACACUCCUUAUUUACUACCUUGUUACAAUUCCUUAACUGACAAGUACUUUCGUAUAGAGAUAAAAUAUACUGUUUAUAAAAGAGCUAUUUAUUUAAUUGUAUCCAUCAAUGAAUUUAAAAACUCUUAGUACUAACUUUGUCACCUGUGGAACACAGAGAAACAUGAUCAUCAUCAGGUGCCUCGAGUUCUGGAUUUCUGGAAUUUUGGAGACCAAUCAGUCCUAUUCUCUGAAGUCUGACAACAGGGUGUGUUUUAAUGGCUUCUAUGAUGAUGGCAAGGGAGAGAGCAUUGUCUUUAUGGCAUGCUCUUCCAGCUGAUUCUCCGACCAGAUGGAGGCACAAAAGGACAGUGGCUAUUUUAUGGACACACACUGGACUGGUAUUUUAGAAAGACUGAUUGAUUUAAAGUCCUACUUGACUUGGACUUCCUUGCUUAAAUCAAAACACAUGGUGAAUAAAUGCCUCCCCUCCAAAAAAAAUGUUAUCACUGAUGUAUCUUAAUAUUUUUUUCGCAAAUGUAUUCAAUGUUUGUUAAAUCUAUGUUUUAGUUGAUAUCUAUUAAAUUGUCUGUGUAACAUUUUCAGAAGUUGUGGCU
Molecule: non-coding RNA, 928 nt
Organism: Oncorhynchus mykiss (rainbow trout)
Lineage: Eukaryota; Metazoa; Chordata; Actinopteri; Salmoniformes; Salmonidae
Source: RefSeq, a predicted model, not a curated record